GGGAGCUCGUACCACCCGACUGCCCGAAGGCAGGAGCUGCAGAAGCAGGUUCUGUGCACCGUGCAAAACCGGAAUAGAACGGCCUCGAAGGUUCAGUUCAACAACUUGACAGGUCCACCGGCCUGGUCCAGGCUUCCAGGUGAAUAAGUGAGGCCACGGCCGUUGGAGGUCGCACCUCCCAGCCUGGUGGAGACCUCCACUUCAGUCACAUAGCCUGUGACUGAAGCCCGUUCGGAGACGGACACUCAGGGCCAGAGACACUUUUCCUGAAGUAAAUACCUUCCCAGGACAGGAAGGCUUCACCACCACAGAUGCACGGUGGUGGAGGAAAAGCCAGGGAAAGGAGGGACAGUGACAUUCAUCUCGAUGGGAGAGUUCAUGAAGAAUGCUGUCAAGCACACUGCAAAACUCAUUCUGUCCCUUAUUCUCAAGAUGCGACAGGUCACUCACUGGUCCAGAUCCCUCAGAGAAGCACAGCCUUUUACAGUAUCUACCUGGGGCUUAGAUGAUGAGCAGAUACUUGUGCUCAUGGAUCCGUUAUUUCCUUCUCUCUGAUACAAGGUCAAGCAACAAAGCCCAUGCCCGCCUUAGACAAUCCCGUGGCCUCUCUCCCUCAGCUUCCUGGGUUCUGCAGUUGCAGGUGUGAACUGUCACGCAGGCUCCAUUUACCCCUGAGGAAAGCAGAUGGAGCGGAAGGGCCUCAGAGAGACCAAGACCUUGAGGUCCCAUUCCAGAGCUUCAGGGACCGCUAUGCCUGCUUGUGGAGGCUUCGAGAGGCUGCCAGAAAGAGGAAGUACACAUGGCUGGUUGGUCCUGAGGUUGUUCCUGGAAGCUUACUGAAUGUCAUCAAGACACGUAGGCAUGUGCUUGAUUGGUACCUGGUUGUAUUUGUUUGUGCUGGAGGGCUGAACGUAAAGGGAACCUAAAGCUUCCUUGCUGAGUGCCAGGAAGACUGGUGCUGGGCACGUGGCAUGCUCAUGGCCACUCCUGCUGAACUCAGCACACCGUCCCCCCACCUCCCGCACCCCUUCCUGCAUCUGUGCUCCGUGUUAGUGAGCAUCGUUCUCUGGCAACCACCUUUUAGAUGGUGAGACUAUUAAGUGACUUUUCUGAGCCAAGAACGGCUCCGCCGGCCCAGGGCCUCUUCUCGGGAGGGGAUUAGACAGGGAUUCCAGCAGUGUUCCCAGG
Molecule: long non-coding RNA, 1188 nt
Filed under: Meriones unguiculatus (Mongolian gerbil)
Lineage: Eukaryota; Metazoa; Chordata; Mammalia; Rodentia; Muridae
Description: lncRNA (ENSMUGG00000008242.1)
Source: RNAcentral